This 424-nucleotide unclassified non-coding RNA is filed under the name Geobacillus stearothermophilus. Its description in RNAcentral is "16S-23S ribosomal RNA intergenic spacer". The record is from RNAcentral. Lineage: Bacteria; Bacillati; Bacillota; Bacilli; Caryophanales; Anoxybacillaceae.
AAGGACGAAAAGCGGAGGCCGCAAUGGCCAACUGUCGAUACACAGCGCUUUCGUUUCGUUCGGUUUUGAGGGAAUGAGAAAUUCCUUCAAAAGCGCCUGUGCCUGCGUCUGCUAGCAGGUUCAGGGAAGCAAGAUUCCUCGGCACAAAGCUGCAAGGAGGAUUGCUCAAAGAAGCCGCUUUGCGUCUUCUAGCAGGUUCAAGGAAGAUGGAUUCCUCGGCGCAAAGCUGCAAAGAAGCAGACUCAAGGCAGCAGCUUCGUUCCUUGAAAACUAGAUAACCGGAAAAGCGGAGGCGAGCGUUUCGCCGCGAUGGGCAAAUGUUCUUCGCCUGCAAGGGUGCUUGCACCCGGAAGGCGAAGGUUAUUUGACCCCGAGCGGCGGCGAGCCGAAGCUAGACAGUAAGGAAGAAGCCGAGAGCGCUGUA